GAGGCUGCAGCUCAGUGGUAGAGCAUCUGCUUUGCAUGCAUAAGGUCUCAAGUUCAAUCUCUAGUAGCAUCU
Molecule: non-coding RNA, 72 nt
Organism: Podarcis lilfordi (Lilford's wall lizard)
Lineage: Eukaryota; Metazoa; Chordata; Lepidosauria; Squamata; Lacertidae
Source: the annotation of a GenBank genome assembly